This 253-nucleotide ribosomal RNA is filed under the name uncultured bacterium. RNAcentral's name for it is "partial 16S ribosomal RNA". It matches the Rfam family "Bacterial small subunit ribosomal RNA", at positions 524 to 776 of the family's 1533-position model. The record is from RNAcentral.
UACGGAGGAUGCAAGCGUUAUCCGGAUUUAUUGGGUUUAAAGGGUGCGUAGGCGGAAUUGUAAGUCAGUGGUGAAAUCUUCCGGCUUAACCGGGAAACUGCCAUUGAUACUGUUUUUCUUGAGUGCAGUUGAGGUGGGCGGAAUGUGUAAUGUAGCGGUGAAAUGCUUAGAUAUUACACAGAACACCUAUUGCGUAGGCAGCUCACUAAACUGUAACUGACGCUGAGGCACGAAAGCGUGGGGAGCGAACAGG